This 90-nucleotide ribosomal RNA is filed under the name Caerostris darwini. The record is from RNAcentral. Lineage: Eukaryota; Metazoa; Arthropoda; Arachnida; Araneae; Araneidae.
ACCGGUUCUCGUUAGAUCACCGAAGUCAAGCAUCAUUGGGCGCGGUCAGUACUUGGGUGGGUGACCACCUUGGGAACACCGCGUACCGUU